AUAUCAAUAAGCGGAGGAAAAGAAACCAACAGGGAUUGCCUCAGUAACGGCGAGUGAAGCGGCAACAGCUCAAAUUUGAAAUCUGGCUCCUCUGGGGUCCGAGUUGUAAUUUGUAGAGGAUGCUUCGGGCAAGGCUGCGGUCUAAUUUGCUUGGAACAGCGAGUCACAGAGGGUGAGAGUCCCGUCUAGAACCGCGCGCCGCGUCCAUGUGAAGCUCCUUCGACGAGUCGAGUUGUUUGGGAAUGCAGCUCUAAAUGGGUGGUAAAUUUCAUCUAAAGCUAAAUAUUGGCCAGAGACCGAUAGCGCACAAGUAGAGUGAUCGAAAGAUGAAAAGCACUUUGAAAAGAGAGUUAAACAGUAUGUGAAAUUGUUGAAAGGGAAGCGCUUGCAACCAGACUUGCGAGGGACGGUUCCCUCCAUCUUCUGAUGGGGCUACUCCGUCCUCUCCAGGCCAGCAUCGGUUUGGGUGGUCGGUCAAAGACCCCGGGAAUGUAUCUACCUUCGGGUCGACUUAUAGCCCGGGGUGCAAUGCGGCCCACCCGGACCGAGGAACGCGCUUCGGCCCGGAUGCUGGCGUAAUGGUUGCAAGCGGCCCGUCUUGAAACACGGACCAAGGAGUCUAACAUCUAUGCGAGUGUUUGGGUGUCAAACCCCUACGCGUAAUGAAAGUGAACGGAGGUAAGAACCCCGUCAGGGGCGCAUUAUCGACCGAUCCUGAUGUCUUCGGAUGGAUUUGAGUAAGAGCAUAGCUGUUGGGACCCGAAAGGUACGCCGCUCAUUCCACCCUCUUUUUGUUUGUUGCAUGCAUGCUAACUUGUUGACAGAUGGUGAACUAUGCCUGAAUAGGGUGAAGCCAGAGGAAACUCUGGUGGAGGCUCGCAGCGGUUCUGACGUGCAAAUCGAUCGUCAAAUUUGGGCAUAGGGGCGAAAGUCAGUUAAUCCGUCAUCCCUACACCGGGAGAUUCUUAUGCUAACAUUUUUUAUAGGACCAAUCGAACCAUCCUUAUGGCAUCUUGUAAAGAAAACCGAUGUGUGAGGUUCUCUUUAAGCGUUGCCAGGUGGUUAAUUUCCUAACUUUCAGUUGGGCCAGUCUGAUACUUGGUAUUGGGCGACGUCGUCAGCCUUCGGGGAUGUCCUCACGGCUAUCCGAAGCCGUCCUUAUGUUGGGACGGUUCACAGACUAGACAGUGACGGCCGAAGCCUCUUGACCGGGGACGGUGAUUAUAUAGUCGAGUAAAGUUAUUGGACCUUGCGAGUAUUCUGACCAAGAGUACUCGGUAGACCGUACGUUAUUAUGUACGCCUUAUUAGGCUUUUAGGCUUCUUUGAGGUUGGUCUUGCGAGAAUCCCGUAGCUUUUGAACGCUGGUAGCUGGUUCCUGUCGAAGUUUCCCUCAGGAUAGCAGUAACGUUUUCAGUUUUAUGAGGUAAAGCGAAUGAUUAGAGGCCUUGGGGUUCAAGCAACCUUAACCUAUUCUCAAACUUUAAAUAUGUAAGAAGUCCUUGUUACUUAGUUGAACGUGGACAUUUGAAUGUAUCGUUACUAGUGGGCCAUUUUUGGUAAGCAGAACUGGCGAUGCGGGAUGAACCGAACGUGAGGUUAAGGUGCCGGAAUGUACGCUCAUCAGACACCACAAAAGGUGUCAAUGCAUCCAGACAGCCGGACGGUGGCCAUGGAAGUCGGAAUCCGCUUAGGAGUGUGUAGCCCCUGUUGCACACCAUUAAUUCGACAUGAAUUAGUUGAGCUUCCGCCUCAACGAUGGCUCUAUUUGACUGGAAAUCUCUUUAUCGGGAUGACCGGCCGUGAAUUCUCAGAUUCAUCUACAGACUAGAGAGAGCCGACCACGCACUCCCCCACGGAGUGAUGGUUAAGAUAUAGUCGAUCAAGACCCCGAGCCACGCGGGAUCUUUGGAUGAGAACAACUCACCGGCCGAAUGCAUUGGCCCUGAAAAUGGAUGGCGCUUAAGCGUGCUACCUAUACCUCGCCGUUGGGGUUGAAAUGAUGCCCCAACGAGUAGGCAGGCGUGGAGGUCGGUGACGAAGCCUUUGGGGUGACCCUGGGUCGAACGACCUCUAGUG
Molecule: ribosomal RNA, 2078 nt
Filed under: Polyblastia viridescens
Lineage: Eukaryota; Fungi; Ascomycota; Eurotiomycetes; Verrucariales; Verrucariaceae
Description: partial 28S large subunit ribosomal RNA
Rfam family: Eukaryotic large subunit ribosomal RNA
Source: RNAcentral